Molecule: long non-coding RNA, 1712 nt
Filed under: Ananas comosus (pineapple)
Lineage: Eukaryota; Viridiplantae; Streptophyta; Magnoliopsida; Poales; Bromeliaceae
Description: long non-coding RNA (ACOM_LNC010579)
Source: RNAcentral
UUAACUUCUCUUUCGUGGGUAAGAUUGGAUGGCGAAGCCAGAAAAUGUGAAGCUUCCAGGAAGGAAGGGGGAGGCGAAGAUUUAGUGGAAAUAGUAGCACCCGAAUCUCAUCUAAUUAACUUUCCUUUUAAACAUGACAAUAAAAUAAAAUAAAAAAUAUAAUAUAUUAUAUUACAACAAAAUAAAAUUAUUAUAUUAUAUUAUAUUAUAUUACUUUUGGUAAACGUUAUCUAAAGCAUUUAAAACUUAUAUAAAUCAAAUUUUAUAAUUUUUCGAUAUUAUUUACAUUACGAUCAAAAGAUCACAAAAUUGGCAAUUUUUAAAGGCCGUUAUAGAAUAUUUGCUAGUUUAACGGUGUAAAAUAAUCGGAAUCAAUUGAAUUUUUGAUAGAAAAUUCUAUUCACUAGUUAGAUAAAGAUCAAUAUAUAACUUCGAUCUUAAAUUGAAAGAUCCGAUAAUUUAUUUUUAGGACGUCGUUCGAUUUUAACCGUUCAUUUUAUGUCUGCUUAAUUGGUUUUAUUAUGAUUUCGAAAAAAUACAAAGUUUAUUUUUUAAAAGUUUCAAAUACUCUAGAUUAUAUUUAACGGAGUAGAUCGUCGAUUCGAAAGUUCUAUCAUCAAAAACAAUUUAUGAAUAAGAGUAUAGUAACCCUACUCUCUCUCUCUCUCUAUAUAUAUAGAAUCAGGUUGGAAAUCUAUUAAUAGCACCAAUGACUUGGUGCUAUUAAGUUUUCCGCCUUUAGAUUAAAAGAUGUGCGAUUAGGAUGAUGUGGGCAACCUAGGGUUGAGUGGGUGUUUGGUUGAAUAGUAUAAUCUAACGGAUAAAAAUAAUCAAAGAGGUUAAUCUAACGGCAGAAAACUUGAUAGCACCAAGUGCUUGGUGCUAUCGAUAGUAUAGCAACCGUACUCUAUAUAUAUAGAGAGUCUGUCUACUAUACUUUCGAAAGUACCGAGACAUCCGUGCUUGUAAGUUGUUUUCGAUGAUAGGACAUCCGAUUCGACGAUCGGCUCCGUUAGGUAUAAUCUGCCAUAUUGGAACUAUCUAGAAACCAAAUUUUAUAAUUUUUUGACAUCAUUUACUAAGCGAUCAAAAGGUCCAUUAGAUAUGAUCUACACUAUUGGAACUAUCUAGAAACCAAAUUUUAUAAUUUUUUGACAUCAUUUACUAAGCGAUCAAAAGGUCCCAAAAAUGACUAUUUUAACGGCCGAUGCGGCACGUUUUUAAGUUCAACGGUGUAGAAGUAUCCAAAUUACAUGAAAAUUUAAUAGAAAAUUCUACUUAACAUCAAUAGCAAGAUCAAUACUUCCGAUUUGAAAUUUGAGUCCUUUAUCAUCAUUUUUUAUGAGAUUUUUAUUUUUAGCCAUUCAUNGAAUGAGAAAAAGUACUCGUUGCAAAGUUAUACUGUUAUGGCGCAACUGAGCAGUCUAAUGUUGUUCCGAUUUUGGUUCUUGUGAACGUUGACAUCGAUUCGUUCCAAAUUUACACUCUCGGGGCAUAACAGAACAAUAUAAUUAGGUUUUGCACUUUGUUCGAUUGAAUGAGAAAAAGUACUAGUUCCAAAGUUAUACUGUUAGGGCUCAACUAAGUAGUCUAACUGUAAGGUACCGGACUUCUAAAAUAAUGAAGUUAUGGUUUAUAUGAGGUUGGAAAGCCAAUUGAAUCGUCUCGGUGAAGUUCGGUGAAGUUCGGAAGUAAUCGGGCGUUUCGGUGCG